UGUUGUCUGUUGUCAGUGAUGCUGACAAAGCUGUAAAAUGUCUGAAUGUCUGCAGAACUUUGCUCUAGUGUGAACUUUACAAGAGGAGACAGAAAGAGGCUGUUACUCUGAAGUUAAGACCUCAAGUGUGAUUUGCCACAGCAGAGCUGCCUGAGACUGUUGGAUUAAGUCUGAAGUCAGGAUCUUGAAGGUUCAGCAUGAUGAGCCGUCCGCAGAGCUUCAUAGAAGCAUCCUGGCAUGCGAUUGCAUUUGUCCCUAACCAUCAGGAACCCUCGUGUUAACUUUUAUCGAGUGAUAAAAGUUUAUCAUCGUCACUAGAUGAUUGGUUUUCCUGCUGCCUUUCUUCCCGUUUGGAGUACAAGUGAGCCGGUGUUUGGAGUCGCGUGUUGGAGUACCAGUGUGUGAGGAGAUCUUUCCUUUCCCAAACCAUCCUUGGACCCGUGGACCCCUGGAUUCUUCCCCCACUUGUACAUAGAUCGCACUUGGUGAUGUGUAAAUAAACUGUCAAAUUGAACUGUG
Long non-coding RNA from Oreochromis niloticus (Nile tilapia), 519 nucleotides. RefSeq lists it as uncharacterized. The transcript is spliced from 5 exons. The record is from RefSeq and is a predicted model, not a curated record. NCBI's taxonomy places the organism in Eukaryota, Metazoa, Chordata, Actinopteri, Cichliformes, Cichlidae.